Molecule: non-coding RNA, 102 nt
Organism: Acanthosepion pharaonis
Lineage: Eukaryota; Metazoa; Mollusca; Cephalopoda; Sepiida; Sepiidae
Source: the annotation of a GenBank genome assembly
UACGCACAUAUCACGUCGAAAGACCCCUUCUCGUACGAUCACUGAAGUUAAACAAGGUCAAGCUUGGUCAGUACCAAGAUUGGUGACCGCUUGGGAAGUGCU